UACGUAGGGUGCGAGCGUUGUCCGGAAUUACUGGGCGUAAAGAGCUCGUAGGUGGUUUGUCGCGUCGUUUGUGUAAGUCCGCAGCUUAACUGCGGGACUGCAGGCGAUACGGGCAUAACUUGAGUGCUGUAGGGGAGACUGGAAUUCCUGGUGUAGCGGUGGAAUGCGCAGAUAUCAGGAGGAACACCGAUGGCGAAGGCAGGUCUCUGGGCAGUAACUGACGCUGAGGAGCGAAAGCAUGGGGAGCGAACAGG
Molecule: ribosomal RNA, 254 nt
Filed under: uncultured bacterium
Lineage: Bacteria
Description: partial 16S ribosomal RNA
Rfam family: Bacterial small subunit ribosomal RNA
Source: RNAcentral